UCCCCUAAAUCUGACUAGGUGGAGAACUUUCCCUUUUGCGAAGAAAAAGCUUCUCUAUUGGCCAAACCACCACAUCCUUGACUGCAUUUGCUAUUGGGUGAGUUUAACGUCGCUCUCCUAGUCAUUGAUUUCGAUCUGUUGGGAGAACUUGAGGAAGUCUGAUAUUUGUCUAUCACUGCCGCUGCUACGGUGUUCGAUUAACGUCUCUCGGGAGAAGCUGCGAAACUCUCUGCUACUGGGUGGGAGUAGAAGAUGUGUAAGAAAGUUUAUGUUGUCUUUGAGGGUCACAACCACUGUUAGUUAAAACGGGAACGGCAAAAAAACAGAAACGUACGGUACGGGUUUUAAACAGAUAAAAACGAUAAACGGUAC
This is a long non-coding RNA of Macadamia integrifolia, 372 nucleotides long. RefSeq lists it as uncharacterized. The transcript has 3 exons. The record is from RefSeq and is a predicted model, not a curated record. Lineage: Eukaryota; Viridiplantae; Streptophyta; Magnoliopsida; Proteales; Proteaceae.